This is a long non-coding RNA of Eriocheir sinensis (Chinese mitten crab), 613 nucleotides long. RefSeq lists it as uncharacterized. The record is from RefSeq and is a predicted model, not a curated record. The transcript has 3 exons. NCBI's taxonomy places the organism in Eukaryota, Metazoa, Arthropoda, Malacostraca, Decapoda, Varunidae.
CUACCUCUGUGGUGGAUAGUGGAGUGUUUCCCAUGUGGUAUUGGUGUGCUGGAUAUCCCUUCACUGGUAGCCUGGUAACACACACUCCCAGGUCUUUCUCUGCCUCUGUGGUGGAUAGUGGAGUGUUUCCCAUGUGGUAUUGGUGUGCUGGAUAUCCCUUCACUGGUAGCCUGGUAACACACACUCCCAGGUCUUUCUCUGCCUCUGUGGUGGAUAGUGGAGUGUUUCCCAUGUGGUAUUGGUGUGCUGGAUAUCCCUUCACUUGUAGCCUGGUAACACACACUCCCAGGUCUUUCUCUGCCUCUGUGGUGGAUAGUGGAGUGUUUCCCAUGUGGUAUUGGUGUGCUGGAUAUCCCUUCACUGGUAGCCUGGUAACAUACACUCCCAGGUCUUUCUCUGCCUCUGUGGUGGAUAGUGGAGUGUUUCCCAUGUGGUAUUGGUGUGCUGGAUAUCCCUUCACUGGUAGCCUGGUAACAUACACUCCCAGGUCUUUCUCUGCCUCUGUGGUGGAUAGUGGAGUGUUUCCCUUGUGGUAUUGGUGUGCUGGAUAUCCGCUCCCAAAUGCAGGACUUUACAUUUUUCUUCAUUGAAUUGUAUCAGCCACUUUUUGCUC